This 376-nucleotide ribosomal RNA is filed under the name uncultured bacterium. RNAcentral describes it as "bacterial SSU rRNA". It matches the Rfam family "Bacterial small subunit ribosomal RNA", at positions 521 to 896 of the family's 1533-position model. The record is from RNAcentral.
UAAUACGGAGGGUGCGAGCGUUGUCCGGAAUCACUGGGCGUAAAGGGCGCGCAGGCGGCUCUUCAAGUCAGAUGUGAAAGCCCCGGGCUCAACCUGGGACCUGCAUUUGAGACUGAAGAACUCGAGUUCGGGAGAGGAUGGCGGAAUUCCCAGUGUAGAGGUGAAAUUCGUAGAUAUUGGGAAGAACACCGGUGGCGAAGGCGGCCAUCUGGACCGAGACUGACGCUGAGGCGCGAAAGCGUGGGGAGCAAACAGGAUUAGAUACCCUGGUAGUCCACGCCGUAAACGAUGUGUGCUAGACGUCGGGAAGCCUAGCUUUCCGGUGUCGCAGCCAACGCUUUAAGCACACCGCCUGGGGAGUACGGCCGCAAGGUUA